This 72-nucleotide transfer RNA is filed under the name Camelus bactrianus (Bactrian camel). It matches the Rfam family "tRNA". From Rfam's summary of the family: Transfer RNA (tRNA) molecules are approximately 80 nucleotides in length. Their secondary structure includes four short double-helical elements and three loops (D, anti-codon, and T loops). The record is from Rfam by way of RNAcentral. RNAcentral also lists the same sequence under 2 other names. Lineage: Eukaryota; Metazoa; Chordata; Mammalia; Artiodactyla; Camelidae.
GGUGGUAUAGCUCAGUAGUAGAGUGCAUGCUUAGCAUGCACAAGGUCCUGGGUUCAAUCCCCAGUACCUCCA